Molecule: non-coding RNA, 31 nt
Filed under: Rattus norvegicus (Norway rat)
Lineage: Eukaryota; Metazoa; Chordata; Mammalia; Rodentia; Muridae
Source: RNAcentral
UUGAACUGGAAUCGACUAUUGCCUGUUCUAU